UUUAUUAUGUUUUUGGUGAUUUAGUGUUUUUUUUUUUUCAAAUUAUGAUUUUAUAUUACAUAUAAAUUAUACACACAGGUUAUUGGAUACAAAAAGACAGACACUUCAUACUUCAUCAAGCUUCAUGUAUAUGGAGGUGUAAAAGGGUGGGUACGAGAAAAGUUAUUCAUUUGGAGAUAGACAUUUAUUUGGCCUAUUGGCAAUAUAGAUGCAGAGGAAAUAUUUGAGGAGGUAUUGUUUGACAGGAUUGGGCAGCAAACUUUAAGGGCUCGGAUGUUUUCAACCCGCGCAAAAGAUUUAAAUUGAUUGCGUUUAUCUAUACUAUCGUAUAAAGCAUUUCACAAGGGUUCCAACCAAAUUUAAAUAAUUGCAACAUAUUAUGCUUAUAGUACAACAACUCAAUGAAGUUAGUAAAGGGAA
Molecule: long non-coding RNA, 420 nt
Organism: Helianthus annuus (common sunflower)
Lineage: Eukaryota; Viridiplantae; Streptophyta; Magnoliopsida; Asterales; Asteraceae
Exons: 3
Source: RefSeq, a predicted model, not a curated record